RNAcentral lists this ribosomal RNA (459 nucleotides) under uncultured bacterium. RNAcentral describes it as "partial 16S ribosomal RNA". It matches the Rfam family "Bacterial small subunit ribosomal RNA", at positions 338 to 795 of the family's 1533-position model. The record is from RNAcentral.
CCUACGGGGGGCAGCAGUGAGGAAUAUUGGUCAAUGGUCGGAAGACUGAACCAGCCAAGCCGCGUGAGGGACGAAGGUGCCGAGUAUUGUAAACUUCUUUUGUCAAGGGACAAAAUCGGGCUCGUGUCCCUGACUGAGGGUACUUGAAGAAAAAGCAUCGGCUAACUCCGUGCCAGCAGCCGCGGUAAUACGGAGGAUGCGAGCGUUAUCCGGAUUUAUUGGGUUUAAAGGGUGCGUAGGCGGGCUGUUAAGUCAGCGGUAAAAGCCCGGGGCUCAACCCCGGCCAGCCGUUGAAACUGGCUGUCUUGAGAUGGAGAGAGGUAUGCGGAAUGCGCGGUGUAGCGGUGAAAUGCAUAGAUAUUGCGCAGAACUCCGAUUGCGAAGGCAGCAUACCGGCGGCGAACUGACGCUGAGGCACGAAAGCGUGGGUAUCGAACAGGAUUAGAUACCCGAGUAGUC